GAGUAACACGUAUCCAACCUGCCGAUGACUCGGGGAUAGCCUUUCGAAAGAAAGAUUAAUACCCGAUGGCAUAGUUCUUCCGCAUGGUAGAACUAUUAAAGGAUUUCGGUCAUCGAUGGGGAUGCGUUCCAUUAGGUUGUUGGCGGGGUAACGGGCCCACCAAGCCUUCGAUGGAUAGGGGUUCUGAGAGGAAGGUCCCCCACAUUGGAACUGAGACACGGUCCAAACUCCUACGGGAGGCAGCAUG
RNAcentral lists this ribosomal RNA (247 nucleotides) under uncultured bacterium. Its description in RNAcentral is "partial 16S ribosomal RNA". It matches the Rfam family "Bacterial small subunit ribosomal RNA", at positions 108 to 353 of the family's 1533-position model. The record is from RNAcentral.